Molecule: ribosomal RNA, 342 nt
Filed under: Anatis mali
Lineage: Eukaryota; Metazoa; Arthropoda; Insecta; Coleoptera; Coccinellidae
Description: partial large subunit ribosomal RNA
Source: RNAcentral
UGAGUAUAAUUUAAAGUAGGGCCUGCCCACUGAGUAUUUGAAGGGCCGCAGUAUUUUGACUGUGCAAAGGUAGCAUAAUCAUUAGUUUUUUAAUUGAAAGCUUGUAUGAAUGGUUUGAUGAGAAAAUAACUUUCUAUGUUUAAAUUUUUAAAAAUUUUAUUUUUAAGUUAAAAAGCUUAAAUUUUUAUAAUAGACGAGAAGACCCUAUAGAGUUUAAUUUUUGUAAAUUUUUAAAUUUUUAGAAUUUUAUAAUUAAAAUUUUUAUAAUAAUUUGAUUGGGGUGAUUAAAAAAUUAAAUUAACUUUUUUUAUAUUUAAACAAAAAUUCAUGAAUAUUGAUCCA